RNAcentral lists this ribosomal RNA (497 nucleotides) under uncultured bacterium. Its description in RNAcentral is "partial 16S ribosomal RNA". It matches the Rfam family "Bacterial small subunit ribosomal RNA", at positions 28 to 507 of the family's 1533-position model. The record is from RNAcentral.
GACGAACGCUGGCGGCGUGCCUAAUACAUGCAAGUAGAACGCUGAAGAGAGGAGCUUGCUCUUCUUGGAUGAGUUGCGAACGGGUGAGUAACGCGUAGGUAACCUGCCUUGUAGCGGGGGAUAACUAUUGGAAACGAUAGCUAAUACCGCAUAACAAUGGAUGACACAUGUCAUUUAUUUGAAAGGGGCAAUUGCUCCACUACAAGAUGGACCUGCGUUGUAUUAGCUAGUAGGUGAGGUAAUGGCUCACCUAGGCGACGAUACAUAGCCGACCUGAGAGGGUGAUCCGCCACACUGGGACUGAGACACGGCCCAGACUCCUACGGGAGGCAGCAGUAGGGAAUCUUCGGCAAUGGGGGCAACGCUGACCGAGCAACGCCGCGUGAGUGGAGAAGGUUUUCGGAUCGGAAAGCUCUGUUGUAAGUGAAGAACGGGUGUGAGAGUGGAAAGUUCACACUGUGACGGUAGCUUACCAGAAAGGGACGGCUAACUACGUG